RNAcentral lists this ribosomal RNA (495 nucleotides) under uncultured bacterium. RNAcentral's name for it is "partial 16S ribosomal RNA". It matches the Rfam family "Bacterial small subunit ribosomal RNA", at positions 28 to 507 of the family's 1533-position model. The record is from RNAcentral.
GACGAACGCUGGCGGCGUGCCUAAUACAUGCAAGUAGAACGCUGAAGGAGGAGCUUGCUUCUCUGGAUGAGUUGCGAACGGGUGAGUAACGCGUAGGUAACCUGCCUGGUAGCGGGGGAUAACUAUUGGAAACGAUAGCUAAUACCGCAUAAGAGUAGAUGUUGCAUGACAUUUGCUUAAAAGGUGCAAUUGCAUCACUACCAGAUGGACCUGCGUUGUAUUAGCUAGUUGGUGGGGUAACGGCUCACCAAGGCGACGAUACAUAGCCGACCUGAGAGGGUGAUCGGCCACACUGGGACUGAGACACGGCCCAGACUCCUACGGGAGGCAGCAGUAGGGAAUCUUCGGCAAGGGACGGAAGUCUGACCGAGCAACGCCGCGUGAGUGAAGAAGGUUGUCGGAUCGUAAAGCUCUGUUGUAAGAGAAGAACGAGUGUGAGAGUGGAAAGUUCACACUGUGACGGUAUCUUACCAGAAAGGGACGGCUAACUACGUG